Long non-coding RNA from Homo sapiens (human), 520 nucleotides. RefSeq lists it as uncharacterized. The transcript is spliced from 3 exons. Lineage: Eukaryota; Metazoa; Chordata; Mammalia; Primates; Hominidae. The record is from RefSeq and is a predicted model, not a curated record.
GUUAAGACUGCCACCUGGCCACUUUGGGUUCCUCAUGCCUCUGAGUCAACAGGCCGAGAAGAGAACUAUGGUGUUGGCUAGGGUAAUUGAUCUAAACUACCAUUGGAAAAUCAUACUACUGUUCCACAAUGGAAGUAAGAAAGGGUGUGUCUGGAAUACAGGAGAUAUCUUAGCGUGUCUGUUACUAUCCAUGCUCUGUGGUUAAGGUCAAUGGAAAACACCACCACCACAACCUAGGCAGGACUACAAAUGACCCAGAUUCUUCAAGAAUAAAGGUUUUUUUCACCCCACCAGAUUCUUUUGGAUUGACAAUACACAAUUAUUGAUUCUACUGUCAUGCAGAAUCUUUCAGAAGCCAAUGGAAGUUUAUAGGAGCAGCACUGGUGCAACAAUGGUGGGUCACAUGGGAAUCUGUUCCUCUUUUUUCACGCAGCUUACUAGGGCCAUUUCAUCCUACUGAGGGCUGAUUCCUGAUAUGCUGCUUUAACUGUAUAAUAAAUUAUUAUUGGUCCUGCCUGAU